CUCAUGUUUAAAUAAAAUUAUUACCAUUUUUAUAAAAUUACUGAUAAACAAACCUUACCUACCUUUUGAGUCAACAAUGGCAACUCUAUUCUUUUUGUCAUUUCUCCCCCAACUAGAACAUGUUCAUUUUUUAUAAAGCAGCUGCCCCCAUCGGUUACUUUAGUGCGAGAAAACGAUCAGGCAUUCUGGUUCACUUUCUCCUUUCUUGAUAGAUUCAUCCACUUGCAAGGAGUACCCCUCGAAAAAUAAUCCGUCUGCAGGUACUUGAUCGCCGAUCUUCAAGCAAACUAUGUAUCGAACAACAGUGUCCAAUAUCGAUAUAUUGUUGCCUCCAACAAAUAUGGAUAUCUGACAUUGUUGUUGGAGAUGUGGUUUGCUUGAAGAUUGGCAAUCAAGUAGUUGCAGACGGAUUACUUUUAGACGGGCAUUCGUUGCAAGAGGAUGAAUCUAGCAUGAUAAGAUGAAAGCCAUCAUGUUGAAAUCAGUCGAUCUCAAAACCAGUCUUGUUUUCAGUUGAGAAAACGCCGCCUCUUCAAAAUCGAUCAAAGUAGCCAACUUUAUCUGCAGAAAAGGUUGGUUUAGAGGUAGCAUUCCUAGUCGUUGCUGUGUCCAUACUUAUGGGGAACACGACGGAUGAAGAUGUAUGGGAAUAAAGAGUUCAAAUUCAAUGGAAUGUUGAUGAUUUGAUUUUGAUGUACUUGGAAUUAUUACUGCUGCAGUAACUAUUGUAGUUCUUACAAUCCCACAAGGGUUGACUUCGGUAAUCAACUACUCUUGCUUAUUCUAUGAGCCUAUAGUUCUCUUCUCUUUCAACGCUAACUUUUCUAGUGUGUCAUCUAGUGGACUUAGAGCUAGUUCGAAAGAGACCAAAAGAGCUCGUCCAGAACUUGUUUGUGGGUUGGAACUUGGACGAAGCCAGUUAUCAAGUGUGGUUGCAUCUUGGCUUCUGGGUUGGUAUAAGUACAAGAAAGACCAAGUUAUUGUUACAGAGAUUCAAGAUCAUAUGUUCCUAUAUGGAUCAAUUAACAAUGUUACUGCUUUUGAUCUGUAGUUUCGAAGUAUCAAUAGAAUGGAUCCGUUUCUUGAUUUUUCUUGUUCUUUAUUUGAGCAUUACAUAUUCUUUAUUUAAGUUUUGAUUAAUAUUAAUUUUUUAUUGUCUGAAAAUGAUAUCUCCUAUCCGUGCGCGAUUCUCCACAUGGGGAUUACAAAAAGGUUGUGAAGGAAAUUGUUA
Molecule: long non-coding RNA, 1231 nt
Filed under: Olea europaea subsp. europaea
Lineage: Eukaryota; Viridiplantae; Streptophyta; Magnoliopsida; Lamiales; Oleaceae
Source: RNAcentral